GAUGAACGCUGGCGGCGUGCCUAAUACAUGCAAGUCGAGCGAACAGAUGAGAAGCUUGCUUCUCUGACGUUAGCGGCGGACGGGUGAGUAACACGUGGGUAACCUACCUAUAAGACUGGGAUAACUCCGGGAAACCGGGGCUAAUACCGGAUAAUAUUUUGAACCGCAUGGUUCAAUAGUGAAAGACGGUUUCGGCUGUCACUUAUAGAUGGACCCGCGCAGUAUUAGCUAGUUGGUAAGGUAACGGCUUACCAAGGCGACGAUACGUAGCCGACCUGAGAGGGUGAUCGGCCACACUGGAACUGAGACACGGUCCAGACUCCUACGGGAGGCAGCAGUAGGGAAUCUUCCGCAAUGGGCGAAAGCCUGACGGAGCAACGCCGCGUGAGUGAUGAAGGUCUUCGGAUCGUAAAACUCUGUUGUUAGGGAAGAACAAAUUUGUUAGUAACUGAACAAGUCUUGACGGUACCUAACCAGAAAGCCACGGCUAACUACGUGCCAGCCGCCGCAGUAA
Molecule: ribosomal RNA, 514 nt
Filed under: uncultured bacterium
Lineage: Bacteria
Description: partial 16S ribosomal RNA
Rfam family: Bacterial small subunit ribosomal RNA
Source: RNAcentral